RNAcentral lists this ribosomal RNA (253 nucleotides) under uncultured bacterium. RNAcentral's name for it is "partial 16S ribosomal RNA". It matches the Rfam family "Bacterial small subunit ribosomal RNA", at positions 524 to 776 of the family's 1533-position model. The record is from RNAcentral.
UACGGAGGGAGCAAGCGUUACUCGGAAUUAUUGGGCGUAAAGGGCGCGUAGGCGAUCUGACAAGUCUGGUGUGAAAGCCCACAUGUUAACUGCGGAAGUGCAUUAGAAACUGUUGGAUUUGAGUUCAGGAGAGGAAGGCAGAAUUCCCGGUGUAGCGGUGAAAUGCGUAGAGAUCGGGAGGAAUACCAGUGGCGAAGGCGGCCUUCUGGACUGACACUGACGCUGAGGCGCGAAAGCCAGGGGAGCAAACGGG